This 566-nucleotide ribosomal RNA is filed under the name Saccharomyces cerevisiae (brewer's yeast). Its description in RNAcentral is "partial small subunit ribosomal RNA". The stretch from base 272 to 543 matches the Rfam family "Bacterial small subunit ribosomal RNA", at positions 557 to 873 of the family's 1533-position model. The record is from RNAcentral. Lineage: Eukaryota; Fungi; Ascomycota; Saccharomycetes; Saccharomycetales; Saccharomycetaceae.
ACUUAUUAGGAUGAUAUAUAAAAAUAUUUUAUUUUAUUUAUAAAUAUUAAAUAUUUAUAAUAAUAAUAAUAAUAUAUAUAUAUAAAUUGAUUAAAAAUAAAAUCCAUAAAUAAUUAAAAUAAUGAUAUUAAUUACCAUAUAUAUUUUUAUAUGGAUAUAUAUAUUAAUAAUAAAAUUAAUUUAUUAUUAUUAAUAAUAUAUUUUAAUAGUCCUGACUAAUAUUUGUGCCAGCAGUCGCGGUAACACAAAGAGGGCGAGCGUUAAUCAUAAUGGUUUAAAGGAUCCGUAGAAUGAAUUAUAUAUUAUAAUUUAGAGUUAAUAAAUAUAAUUAAAGAAUUAUAAUAGUAAAGAUGAAAUAAUAAUAAUAAUUAUAAGACUAAUAUAUGUGAAAAUAUUAAUUAAAUAUUAACUGACAUUGAGGGAUUAAAACUAGAGUAGCGAAACGGAUUCGAUACCCGUGUAGUUCUAGUAGUAAACUAUGAAUACAAUUAUUUAUAAUAUAUAUUAUAUAUAAAUAAUAAAUGAAAAUGAAAGUAUUCCACCUGAAGAGUACGUUAGCAAUAAUG